This is a long non-coding RNA of Centrocercus urophasianus (Greater sage-grouse), 664 nucleotides long. RefSeq lists it as uncharacterized. The record is from RefSeq and is a predicted model, not a curated record. The transcript is spliced from 3 exons. Lineage: Eukaryota; Metazoa; Chordata; Aves; Galliformes; Phasianidae.
GCUCGGGGCGGACACUCACCGUGAUGGGCCGUCGGGUACCGCUGCACAGUGGCUCGCACGGAGUUGCCGUAAUACGGAGGCACGGGGUUGCCUUGUCCGUCGAUAUUAAAAAGUACAUCCACUUCCUCGGCGAGAGGAUACUGCGUGGGGUCCAUGGAAGGCAUUCUUUCUGAAAGGAGCAGGAUGGCGCCAGCCGGCUCAGUGCUUACAGACAGCUGUGGCGAGACGCAACUUAAGGAGGUUCCAGUGUCAUAAGCACGGGGGAGGCGGAGCCUGGCCCAGGAAAAUAACUUUUCCCACUAGCCACGAAACUCUGGGAGCUGAGGGCAGCGCGGGUGCCGCUCCCCGACGCUGUGGGCUGCACGGGGGUCUUUCCUCCCGCCUCCCCCCGGCCCACCCCAAUGGAUGCAAAGCCUCAGGACGAGCCGUAGCUCCGGCAGGUGCAACACCUCCGGGAAAGAAAGCCGCGUCUCCUCGUGCUUAAAGCCGCUCUGACUCGGGAAAGAUUUCUCUUUAAGGACCUGAGCGCCAAGUUUGGAAAUAACACAAUUUGGGGACGUUUAGCGUUGUUUCGUUGGAGUUUUCUGGGGCUUUUUUUUUUUUUUUUUUUUUUUUUUCCCUUCAAGUUCCAGCGGAGAUCUCGGUUCUACAGGAGAUCUGUUAC